UGCCCNCUGAUAAAUAAUUAAAGGGCUGCAGUAAUUUGACUGUACAAAGGUAGCAUAAUCAUUAGUCAUUUAAUUGAUGACUUGUAUGAAAGAUUGGAUGAAAUAUAAACUGUCUUAAAAGUAAGGAUAGAAAUUAAUUUUUAAAUUAAAAAGUUUAAAUAAAAUAAAAAGACGAGAAGACCCUAUAGAGUUUUAUUAUUUUAUAAAUUAAUAUUAUUUAUAUAAUAAAAAGUUUAUAUUUAAAUUUUUGAAAUAAUUUUAUUGGGGUGAUAAAAAAAUUUAAUAAACUUUUUUUUAUAAAAACAUUAAUAAAUGAUUAAAUGAUCCAAUUUUAUUGAUUAUAAGAUUAAAUUACCUUAGGGAUAACAGCGUAAUUUUUUUUUUUAGUUCAAAUAAAAAAAAAAGUUUGCGACCUCGAUGUUGGAUUAAGAUAAAAUUUAAAUGUAGAAGUUUAAAAUUUUUGA
Molecule: ribosomal RNA, 464 nt
Filed under: Aroa discalis
Lineage: Eukaryota; Metazoa; Arthropoda; Insecta; Lepidoptera; Erebidae
Description: partial large subunit ribosomal RNA
Source: RNAcentral